Long non-coding RNA from Suricata suricatta (meerkat), 290 nucleotides. RefSeq lists it as uncharacterized. The record is from RefSeq and is a predicted model, not a curated record. The transcript is spliced from 2 exons. NCBI's taxonomy places the organism in Eukaryota, Metazoa, Chordata, Mammalia, Carnivora, Herpestidae.
CUUUGGUACAUUGAUAUUUUACCCUGAAAAGCACAUGAUCCAUUUCAAGGAAGUAGGAAUCUGAUUUAACUAUUCUAAUGGUUACAUGACAGAGAAUGUGACAACUUCCAAAAAGAGCUUCAUAGAAACCUGAUAAUAUGGAGAGUUACUAGAGGAUUAGAAGAUGUGGAAAACACUGUCACCUCUGAAAUACCUUAGCUGUGUCUUCAUGUGUAAAUAUAAAAAAUAAUACCUAUUUCAUUGCAUUACUAUGAGGAAUCAAUGAAGUUACAAUAAAAAAGUUAAGAGAC